AUGCUACUCCCUCCGUCCGAAAAUACUUGUCAUCAAAAUGAAUAAAAGAGAAUGUAACUAGACGUAUUUUAUUUUUAGAUACAUCCCUUUUUGUCCAUUUUGAUGACAAGUAUUUUUGGACGUAAAAAGUACAUU
Molecule: non-coding RNA, 135 nt
Organism: Triticum aestivum (bread wheat)
Lineage: Eukaryota; Viridiplantae; Streptophyta; Magnoliopsida; Poales; Poaceae
Source: Rfam